RNAcentral lists this ribosomal RNA (205 nucleotides) under uncultured bacterium. RNAcentral describes it as "partial 16S ribosomal RNA". It matches the Rfam family "Bacterial small subunit ribosomal RNA", at positions 568 to 774 of the family's 1533-position model. The record is from RNAcentral.
UGCGUAGGUGGUUUUGUAAGACAGUGGUGAAAUCCCCGGGCUCAACCUGGGAACUGCCAUUGUGACUGCAAGGCUAGAGUGCGGCAGAGGGGGAUGGAAUUCCGCGUGUAGCAGUGAAAUGCGUAGAUAUGCGGAGGAACACCGAUGGCGAAGGCAAUCCCCUGGGCCUGCACUGACGCUCAUGCACGAAAGCUGGGAGCAAACA